Molecule: ribosomal RNA, 429 nt
Filed under: Bacteroidota bacterium
Lineage: Bacteria; Pseudomonadati; Bacteroidota
Description: Bacteroidetes bacterium partial 16S ribosomal RNA
Rfam family: Bacterial small subunit ribosomal RNA
Source: RNAcentral
UAGGGAAUCUUCGGCAAUGGGGGGAACCCUGACCGAGCAACGCCGCGUGAGUGAAGAAGGUUUUCGGAUCGUAAAGCUCUGUUGUUAAGGAAGAACGAGUGUGAGAAUGGAAAGUUCAUACUGUGACGGUACUUAACCAGAAAGGGACGGCUAACUACGUGCCAGCAGCCGCGGUAAUACGUAGGUCCCGAGCGUUGUCCGGAUUUAUUGGGCGUAAAGCGAGCGCAGGCGGUUAGAUAAGUCUGAAGUUAAAGGCAGUGGCUCAACCAUUGUAGGCUUUGGAAACUGUUUAACUUAAGUGCAGAAGGGGAGAGUGGAAUUCCAUGUGUAGCGGUGAAAUGCGUAGAUAUAUGGAGGAACACCGGUGGCGAAAGCGGCUCUCUGGUCUGUAACUGACGCUGAGGCUCGAAAGCGUGGGGAGCGAACAGG